This 200-nucleotide ribosomal RNA is filed under the name uncultured bacterium. Its description in RNAcentral is "partial 16S ribosomal RNA". It matches the Rfam family "Bacterial small subunit ribosomal RNA", at positions 28 to 224 of the family's 1533-position model. The record is from RNAcentral.
GACGAACGCUGGCGGCGUGCUUAACACAUGCAAGUGGAGCGACGAACCGGGGGCUUGCCCCGGGGCAGAGCCGCGAACGGGUGAGUAACACGUGGGUAACCCACCCGAUGACCGGGACAAACCCGAGGAAACUACGGGCUAAUACCGGAUGUGCUCCUUGACCUCGAGGUCAAGGCGUAAAAGAUAGCUUCGGCCUUCGC